Molecule: long non-coding RNA, 573 nt
Filed under: Mytilus galloprovincialis (Mediterranean mussel)
Lineage: Eukaryota; Metazoa; Mollusca; Bivalvia; Mytilida; Mytilidae
Source: RNAcentral
CCUGUUGUAUUUAUUGUAAAUUUUGGGUUUUUUUUUUGUCCUUAACUUGCAUAAACAUUUGACACUGGUCAGUGGAUGUUUAAAAAUCAAUCAACUAGCUUCUAGUAAUUUUGAGUACUCAGAUCUGCGUGUAAUGACCACAAUUGUUCAAAUAUCUAAGCAGGUAGGGAUUUUACAGUAGAGGAUAAAAAAAAUUAUAAAGAAACACGAAUUUCUUGAAUUUUGAUACGAUAGUAUGAACAGAACAGAACUUUUGCAUUAGGCAUGGACUAUGUGUGUAUGUGUUUGUGUGGCUAGGGUGAAGGUUUAAGAAUCAAAAGAUUGAUGUUUUUUGCCAAAAGGAUAGUUUUAUUUUAUAGUAAUAUCAGUGUUUAUGUGCCUAUUUUUUUUUUAAAUAAAUGAUUAUCACAAAAUGUACUGUUAAAUAAGUUAAACGUAUAUAUCAAUCAGAACGGAAUAAGUAUGAAAAGACCAAACAGGGUGUACUGCUUAAUUGAAGAGAUACGCUGAUCAGGAACAUAUAUAUUGUUAUUGUUAUUGUAAAUAUAUUUUUUUUCAUAUUUCCGAUUGUAC